Long non-coding RNA from Canis lupus familiaris (dog), 557 nucleotides. RefSeq lists it as uncharacterized. The transcript is spliced from 3 exons. Lineage: Eukaryota; Metazoa; Chordata; Mammalia; Carnivora; Canidae. The record is from RefSeq and is a predicted model, not a curated record.
GACUGUGGACCCCACGAGCCAAAGCAAACCAGCCAUCAGGCCCCACGGCGACCGGGACCGGGGCGUAGCAGGAAACAGACCCAUCCACUCCUCUCAAGGGAUAGAGUCUACGGCUCAGAUUGCCCUUCGUGGAGGGAGCAGAAAGCCGGGGCCGAUGCAAACCCAUUUUACAGACCAGUAGUGGAAAUCUCAGCAAAACGAAAACAAAAAGCCUCCCAUUCUGGGGUGCCUGUUACACACGAGAUGGUGCUCAAGGCGUCUAGAACCCGUGUUCCGGGCCCAGGGGUUUCCAACGGCCUUGCAAAGUAGGCAGCACCUCCACUGAAUGGACCAGGCGCAGAAGCUCAAGCACCUUGCCCCGUCGCACAGGCUCAGAAAAAGGCAAAAAAUCUCCCUGGUUCCAGUGGGAGCAGUGGUGGUGUGUGGAGAUGAUGUUGAAGACGGUCAUGAUGUGGGAUCCCUGGGGGGCUCAGCGGUUGAGCGCCUGCCUUUGGCCCAGGGUGUGACCCCGGGGUCCUGGGAUCGAGUUCCGAUCGAGCUCCUACCGGGAGGCUGCU